RNAcentral lists this long non-coding RNA (279 nucleotides) under Zostera marina. RNAcentral's name for it is "long non-coding RNA (ZMAR_LNC003457)". Lineage: Eukaryota; Viridiplantae; Streptophyta; Magnoliopsida; Alismatales; Zosteraceae. The record is from RNAcentral.
CCGAAACUCAAUAUUUAGAGGAUGCGCGUGGAAUAUUUCUUAUAAUAUGCACAUUUUUCUUUGAAUUGUCAGUCAACAAUGGACAAGAAGGACAAGAAGAACAAGAAGACUGAAGAGCCGAAGCUGCCCGCCAUCACUGAAGAGCCGAAGCUGCCCGCCAUCACUGAAGAAGUAGGAGGAGAAAAAGAAGAGGAAGAGGAGAAGGGCGAAGAUGAUAAAGAUUUGAUACAGGAGGAGGUGGAUGAAUUCUUCGCCAUCUUACGCCGGAUUCAAAUGGGC